Long non-coding RNA from Armigeres subalbatus, 740 nucleotides. RefSeq lists it as uncharacterized. The record is from RefSeq and is a predicted model, not a curated record. The transcript is spliced from 3 exons. NCBI's taxonomy places the organism in Eukaryota, Metazoa, Arthropoda, Insecta, Diptera, Culicidae.
UAUUACCAAGAGGAAUUUUGACAACUGAUCUGCAUGGAGCAAAUUGUCACUUUUACUUACGGAAUAAUCGAGCAGAAUAUUUUUCCGAAAGUAGAGUGACAGCUCCCAUUACUUUGCGUGGGAACCUUACAAAUGCCAAUUUUGUUUUUUGUUCUUUUCAUGUGGAUACUGCUGUAAGAAUUUUGUUUUGAUUCUUUACUUUUCCGAUUCAGUGAACAGAAUUUAACAUGUGAUUGAGAUAGAAAAAGAAAUUUCUUUUGAACACGAUACCAACCUUUUGAAUGAGGAUUUAUCUAGUAUAAUAAUACAUAAUUUGUUAAACUGAUAUUUGGAAUGCGAUGAGCCAAGGCCUCAUUUAGUCGGGCACCUAAACUUGUAGGUGACUCGCAAAAUGGGUUUUGGCAUUGGUGCAGGAAAAUGAUUGCAGUCAAGAAGUUUCAAUUUUCUUUGUUUAAGGAUUUGUGCUAUUAGGAAAGUUGGCUUAUAAGGCAAACGGAUUUAGCAAAAUAAUUAAAUCCCAACUGUGAAUGCUUUACCGAUUUUAUUGUUCCGACUCCCGACUAUUGUAACCCAGAACUGGGGUGUUGUCGCCAGGGAAUCAAUAUUCGAGCAACACCUAACAAUAUACUUUUUGUCAUCACAAGAGUUUGUUACUGACAAACGCACCUCGCAACAAGCCUUUAUAAGAAUCCGAAUACAAUAUGCAUGCUCUGAUAUUUCCGAGAAUACGAUACUGUUUU